RNAcentral lists this ribosomal RNA (460 nucleotides) under uncultured bacterium. RNAcentral's name for it is "partial 16S ribosomal RNA". It matches the Rfam family "Bacterial small subunit ribosomal RNA", at positions 338 to 795 of the family's 1533-position model. The record is from RNAcentral.
CCUACGGUGAGCAGCAGUGAGGAAUAUUGGUCAAUGGGCGCGAGCCUGAACCAGCCAAGUAGCGUGAAGGAUGACUGCCCUACGGGUUGUAAACUUCUUUUAUAAAGGAAUAAAGUGAGGCACGUUUGCCUUUUUGUAUGUACUUUAUGAAUAAGGAUCGGCUAACUCCGUGCCAGCAGCCGCGGUAAUACGGAAGAUCCGAGCGUUAUCCGGAUUUAUUGGGUUUAAAGGGAGCGUAGAUGGGUUGUUAAGUCAGUUGUGAAAGUUUGCGGCUCAACCGUAAAAUUGCAAUUGAUACUGGCAGUCUUGAGUACAGUUGAGGUAGGCGGAAUUCGUGGUGGAGCGGUGAAAUGCUUAGAUAUCACGAAGAACUCCGAGUGCGAAGGCAGCUUACUAAACUGCCACUGACAUUGAUGCUCGAAAGUGUGGGUAUCAAACAGGAUUAGAGACCCGGGUAGUC